GUGGUGGAGCAGCCCGGUAGCUCGUCAGGCUCAUAACCUGAAGGUCACAGGUUCAAAUCCUGUCCCCGCAACCA
Molecule: transfer RNA, 74 nt
Filed under: Methylobacterium radiotolerans
Lineage: Bacteria; Pseudomonadati; Pseudomonadota; Alphaproteobacteria; Hyphomicrobiales; Methylobacteriaceae
Description: tRNA-Met
Rfam family: tRNA
About the family: Transfer RNA (tRNA) molecules are approximately 80 nucleotides in length. Their secondary structure includes four short double-helical elements and three loops (D, anti-codon, and T loops).
Source: RNAcentral